Molecule: ribosomal RNA, 516 nt
Filed under: Heterospora chenopodii
Lineage: Eukaryota; Fungi; Ascomycota; Dothideomycetes; Pleosporales; Leptosphaeriaceae
Description: eukaryotic LSU rRNA
Rfam family: 5.8S ribosomal RNA (bases 177-330)
Source: RNAcentral
AUCAUUACCCUUCAUCAGAGAGCUGGGUCGCGGGCUUCUCGCUCUGCCCAGCCCUCUCUGACCCCACCCAUGCCUUUUGCGUACUAUUUGUUUCCUUGGUGGGCUUGCCCGCCAGCAGGACACCCCUACAACCUUUUGCAAUUGCAGUCAGCGUCAGUACAACAGUAAUAAAUUACAACUUUCAACAACGGAUCUCUUGGUUCUGGCAUCGAUGAAGAACGCAGCGAAAUGCGAUAAGUAGUGUGAAUUGCAGAAUUCAGUGAAUCAUCGAAUCUUUGAACGCACAUUGCGCCCCUUGGUAUUCCAUGGGGCAUGCCUGUUCGAGCGUCAUUUGUACCUUCAAGCUCUGCUUGGUGUUGGGUGUUUGUCCUGCCUCUGCGCACGGACUCGCCUGAAAGCAAUUGGCAGCCGGCACUUUGGCCUGUAGCGCAGCACAUUUUGCGCCGCUGGUUUGAGGUUGUUGGCGUCCAUGAAGCCUAUAUUUUUGCUCUUGACCUCGGAUCAGGUAGGGAUACC